Molecule: long non-coding RNA, 316 nt
Filed under: Physcomitrium patens
Lineage: Eukaryota; Viridiplantae; Streptophyta; Bryopsida; Funariales; Funariaceae
Description: long non-coding RNA (PPAT_LNC004666)
Source: RNAcentral
AGUUCCAGAGUAUGUACUAGGCUUACUCAAUUUCAACCUAGUAGAUAUCGGCUCUCUUCUCCUCAAGGCUUUUAUUUGCCCUUGCAAUGUAGUAAUCUGGUCUAAGAGGUAUUAUAUUUGAACUUCAAUCUAGGAUUACUCCGCCAUAUCUCCCAUACUAUAAUUUUUUAAUUAGACUCUACUAUUAUAAUAUCUUUUCACUUCCUGAUUGACUUUUUAAGAAUAGCUUGUGGUAUCCUCAACACAAUUCCUGAUGUAACUACAAUAAUUGAUCUUGAACUAAAUGGAGACUAUUAACAUGCUACCAAAGAUAAAU